Molecule: ribosomal RNA, 511 nt
Filed under: uncultured bacterium
Lineage: Bacteria
Description: partial 16S ribosomal RNA
Rfam family: Bacterial small subunit ribosomal RNA
Source: RNAcentral
GACAAACGCUGGCGGCGUGCCUAAUACAUGCAAGUAGAACGCUGAAGGAGGAGCUUACUUCUCUGGAUGAGUUGCGAACGGGUGAGUAACGCGUAGGUAACCUGCCUGGUAGCGGGGGAUAACUAUUGGAAACGAUAGCUAAUACCGCAUAAGAGUAGAUGUUGCAUGACAUUUACUUAAAAGGUGCAAUUGCACCACUACCAGAUGGACCUGCGUUGUAUUAGCUAGUUGGUGGGGUAACGGCUUACCAAGGCGACGAUACAUAGCCGACCUGAGAGGGUGAUCGGCCACACUGGGACUGAGACACGGCCCAGACUCCUACGGGAGGCAGCAGUAGGGAAGCUUCGGCAAUGGACGGAAGUCUGACCGAGCAACGCCGCGUGAGUGAAGAAGGUUUUCGGAUCGUAAAGCUCUGUUGUAAGAGAAGAACGAGUGUGAGAGUGGAAAGUUCACACUGUGACGGUAUCUUACCAGAAAGGGACGGCUAACUACGUGCCAGCAGCCGCCGUAA